UGGAACUCGGGUCCUUGCGCUUGCACAGCAGGCGGCGAAACCACUGAGCUAAAUCCCCGGCCUACUCUUUAAUUUUUUGAUGUCUACUUGUGGAGCAAAAAAAUUAUCAUCUUUCCCUCAUUUUAGAAAAUCUCAGGCAACAUAAGGAUCCCUAGACAAUAACCAGGAGGACCUGGCUACACUGUUCCUGAACUUUAGGGGAGAUAUUUAACCUUUUUGGGCCUCAGUUUCCCCAUCUGUAACCCAAGGAGAAUGGGCUCGAUGGUUCCCGAGGCCCCUCCUGACUCUGACCUCCUCUGACUGAAUAAGAUAAUGUGUGAAAACACUUUGUAAACGCUAAAGCCGGAUGGAUGCCAGGGAUUAUUAUUACGAUUCUAAUCAAUCCUCUUUUCUCCACAUGGAUCUUCGCUGUUUAGUGCCAGCAAGCAGGCUAAAGAGGGCCGAAAGCGAGAAAGCUUAGCCAAGAUGGAAAAGCUCUGUGCUGUGGAUGGAAAAAACCAUGCAUCUCCAGAAACAUUCUGUCUCUGUGCUCCUGGAGGUGUGGUGGGAAGGGUGAGGAGAAGGAAGAGCCCUGGACUCCAUCUGACCUAUUUCAGUUUACGUGGCAGCAGAGGGUAUAUUUCUUCAAAAGCAUCUGUUUGUCUCCAAGUGACUGACAUAAGAACCUGAUGGGAAGGCGAUUUGCAAUUGUUUUUUUUCUGAGAAGAAAGGAAAGAGCAAGGUGUAGCUGAUUAGCAAGUUAAUUAUUUCACUACCCCAAGGGUUCCAGUGUGGUGUUAAGUUGUCCAGCCCAGGUGUAAUUUCACAGUCUCUGUAUUUCUCAGUGAGUGCCUGAGGUUCCUGAGUCCGUCUGUCUCUCUGUCCACCUGCCUUGUGUCUUCCUGACAUGCCUGGGGAGAGGAGCAAAGACUGGGGUAGGAGUUGAUAUAGUGUAGACCUUAGCCUUGGCUGCAAGAGGGGGCAGAUGGACAGGGUGAAGGGAGCCCAAGUGAUGCCCUCCACCUCCACUAUGGUCCUUUCUUGUUUUAAAACAUUUUUCUUUCAAUAAAUAUUAAUGAGACAGGUUAUCGGGAAGUGGCGUUGCUGUGAGGUUACUACCCCAGACUUGGCCUGCAGAUAAACUGGGUUGGAGCCCUUGCCUCACCUCCGGGUGCCAGUUCUCUGGUACGUGAGCCUAUUUGAUUUCUCACCUCUGGCCACCACUUAAUUCUGCGGCAGGCUUCUCCAGUCCAACUGCAAGAUCUGACUUCCCCUCGGGGAGACUACUGAGGAGGAUUGUGUGGUCAAAGGGACACCUCCCCUCAGAGAGAUAAGUUGGAAAGGAAACAGCCACAGCACCAAGCUCUGGAGAGCCUGUCUGAUUUCAGUGGAAAGAAGAAGACACACUGGCAUUCAGCUGUCCGAAAAGAUAAUCCUGAUGACCGCUUCAUUGAUGGUGGAAGAGGAUUUGGGGAGCAGAGGGCUUGGGAACAGGGUUUGGGUGAGUCCAGUCGCUGUUCAAAUCAGACUUGGCCUCCUAUCCCUCAUAGUCUUAGUCUUUCUCUGUAGGGGAAAAGGUAGUUAGGGAAAUGCCAGCUCAGGAGCACGGGCAGAGGGAGGAGUCCCUCAUCUCAGUCUUGCCAAAAGGAAGCUAGGGGAUGGUAACAACAGAUGCUAGAGAGCAGAGCAUUGAGGUUCCAUGUGGGAUCUUGGCCCUGACUCAGGAGAUGAAGUCUUUGGCAAGUUUGGAAAGACCUACCAGUGCCAUUUAUUCAUCAUCUCUGUGGACUAAAUUCAAUUUCUUUUUGCUGCCUGGUGUCUGGUAAGGCAGCACUUUCCAGCUUGCAUUACGUUCAUGCGUAAUUUCCACCGUCUUCUUGCACAUGUCCCAGUUUGGCUUUCCCAGCUUUCCCAGCACUAGUUUCCCUUUCCCUCAGGCUGCUUGUCAUGGACCCGGCAUUCUAGUCCACUAGCUGGCACCCAGCUCAUCUUCUGGAAGAUGAGCUGUCAGGCCUGUGCCUGUGUGCAGGCUUUUCUCAUUCGGGCUCCUGGAGGGAUAUACCUUCCCCUUAAAUAAGAGAAGCAGGGAGCUAUUUCUGUGAAUCUCUUCAGGAAGGAUUUACCUCUAAAUUGAUAAGUGCAAUUCUCCCUUUCCUCCUUCUGAAUGAAUAACUUUGUCAGUCAACCUGAGGGUCUGCAGAACCUAUAGAAAUGCUUCCUUUGGUCACCCUGUUUUAACACAUGCUGGGGCUUGGGUCUGCCUCUGGCAGACUGGGAGGAGUAGACACAUUCCAGAGACCAGGUCUUGGUCUUAUCUCUUCCCCUACCCCAAAUCCUCACCCUCUAGUUUAUCUCUUUUUACUACAAAUGCAGAGACCGCCUAGGGAAGUGUGAAGGGAUGGGUUUUAAUCAGAUUUGGGGGAGGAAGGGGAAUAAGGUAAGCCCAAAGAAAAAUAGGGACAGUUGGAAUUUUUUAGAUGACAUUCUUCUGUUACACUGCUUGUGUCUUAUAUAUUAUAUCCUACAAAUUAUGAAUUUGUUGUAAUCUGCAGUGCAUAUGUGCAUUUAGCAAAUGCUGCUUGGUCAAAACAGUGUUAAAUAAAAUGGUAAGAAAUGCUA
Heterocephalus glaber (naked mole-rat) is the source of this 2598-nucleotide long non-coding RNA. RefSeq lists it as uncharacterized. NCBI's taxonomy places the organism in Eukaryota, Metazoa, Chordata, Mammalia, Rodentia, Bathyergidae. The record is from RefSeq and is a predicted model, not a curated record.